Molecule: ribosomal RNA, 478 nt
Filed under: uncultured bacterium
Lineage: Bacteria
Description: partial 16S ribosomal RNA
Rfam family: Bacterial small subunit ribosomal RNA
Source: RNAcentral
GAUGAACGCUGGCGGCGUGCUUAACACAUGCAAGUCGAACGAGAAGUGGAGACGGAAACCUUCGGGCGGAAGACUUUAUUUCGAGUGGCGGCCGGGUGAGUAACGCGUGGGUAACCUGCCUCAUACAGGGGGAUAACAGUUGGAAACGACUGUUAAUACCGCAUAAGACCACAGCACCGCAUGGUGCGGGGGUAAAAACUCCGGUGGUAUGAGAUGGACCCGCGUUCGAUUCGCCAGUUGGCGGGGUAACGGCCCACCAACGCGACGAUCGAUAGCCGAUCUGAGAGGAUGACCGGCCACAUUGGGACUGAGACACGGCCCAAACUCCUACGGGAGGCAGCAGUGGGGAAUAUUGCACAAUGGGGGAAACCCUGAUGCAGCGACGCCGCGUGAGUGAAGAAGUAUUUCGGUAUGUAAAGCUCUAUCAGCAGGGAAGAAAAUGACGGUACCUGAGUAAGAAGCCCCGGCUAACUACGUG